UGACUCAGUCGGUUGAGUAUCUGACUUCAGCUCAGGUCAUGAUCUCACAGUUUGUGGGUUCAAGCCCCAC
This 70-nucleotide transfer RNA is filed under the name Felis catus (domestic cat). It matches the Rfam family "tRNA", at positions 8 to 63 of the family's 71-position model. From Rfam's summary of the family: Transfer RNA (tRNA) molecules are approximately 80 nucleotides in length. Their secondary structure includes four short double-helical elements and three loops (D, anti-codon, and T loops). Further hydrogen bonds mediate the characteristic L-shaped molecular structure. tRNAs have two regions of fundamental functional importance: the anti-codon, which is responsible for specific mRNA codon recognition, and the 3' end, to which the tRNAs corresponding amino acid is attached (by aminoacyl-tRNA synthetases). tRNAs cope with the degeneracy of the genetic code in two manners: having more than one tRNA (with a specific anti-codon) for a particular amino acid; and 'wobble' base-pairing, i.e. permitting non-standard base-pairing at the 3rd anti-codon position. The record is from Rfam by way of RNAcentral. Lineage: Eukaryota; Metazoa; Chordata; Mammalia; Carnivora; Felidae.